Molecule: transfer RNA, 74 nt
Filed under: Phycisphaeraceae bacterium
Lineage: Bacteria; Pseudomonadati; Planctomycetota; Phycisphaerae; Phycisphaerales; Phycisphaeraceae
Also listed under: 1 other name
Description: tRNA-Val
Rfam family: tRNA
About the family: Transfer RNA (tRNA) molecules are approximately 80 nucleotides in length. Their secondary structure includes four short double-helical elements and three loops (D, anti-codon, and T loops). Further hydrogen bonds mediate the characteristic L-shaped molecular structure. tRNAs have two regions of fundamental functional importance: the anti-codon, which is responsible for specific mRNA codon recognition, and the 3' end, to which the tRNAs corresponding amino acid is attached (by aminoacyl-tRNA synthetases). tRNAs cope with the degeneracy of the genetic code in two manners: having more than one tRNA (with a specific anti-codon) for a particular amino acid; and 'wobble' base-pairing, i.e. permitting non-standard base-pairing at the 3rd anti-codon position.
Source: RNAcentral
GGGCGCUUAGCUCAGCUGGCUAGAGCAUCGCUUUUACACAGCGGAGGUCGGGGGUUCGAGCCCCUCAGCGCCCA